GAUGAACGCUGGCGGCGUGCCUAAUACAUGCAAGUCGAACGCUUCACUUCGGUGAAGAGUGGCGAACGGGUGAGUAAUACAUAAGUAACCUGGCAUCUACAGGGGGAUAACUGAUGGAAACGUCAGCUAAGACCGCAUAGGUGUAGAGAUCGCAUGAACUCUAUAUGAAAAGUGCUACGGGACUGGUAGAUGAUGGACUUAUGGCGCAUUAGCUUGUUGGUAGGGUAACGGCCUACCAAGGCGACGAUGCGUAGCCGACCUGAGAGGGUGACCGGCCACACUGGGACUGAGACACGGCCCAGACUCCGACGGGAGGCAGCAGUAGGGAAUUUUCGGCAAUGGGGGAAACCCUGACCGAGCAACGCCGCGUGAAGGAAGAAGUAAUUCGUUAUGUAAAAUGCUGUCAUAGAGGAAGAACGGUGGAUAUAGGGAAUGAUAUCAAAGUGACGGUACUCUAUAAGAAAGCCACGGCUAACUACGUG
This 482-nucleotide ribosomal RNA is filed under the name uncultured bacterium. RNAcentral describes it as "partial 16S ribosomal RNA". It matches the Rfam family "Bacterial small subunit ribosomal RNA", at positions 28 to 507 of the family's 1533-position model. The record is from RNAcentral.